UACGGGGGGGGCAAGCGUUGUCCGGAAUCAUUGGGCGUAAAGAGCGUGUAGGCGGCCAGGUAGGUCGGUUGUGAAAACUGGAGGCUCAACCUUCAGAGGUCGACCGAAACCAUCUGGCUAGAGUCCGGGAGAGGAGAGUGGAAUUCCUGGUGUAGCGGUGAAAUGCGCAGAUAUCAGGAAGAACACCCGUGGCGAAAGCGGCUCUCUGGAACGGUACUGACGCUGAGACGCGAAAGCGUGGGGAGCGAACAGG
This 253-nucleotide ribosomal RNA is filed under the name uncultured bacterium. RNAcentral's name for it is "partial 16S ribosomal RNA". It matches the Rfam family "Bacterial small subunit ribosomal RNA", at positions 524 to 776 of the family's 1533-position model. The record is from RNAcentral.